Molecule: ribosomal RNA, 253 nt
Filed under: uncultured bacterium
Lineage: Bacteria
Description: partial 16S ribosomal RNA
Rfam family: Bacterial small subunit ribosomal RNA
Source: RNAcentral
GACAGAGGCCUCAAGCGUUGCUCGGAAUCACUGGGCGUAAAGCGCACGUAGGCGGCUUUCUAAGUCAGGGGUGAAAUCCUGGAGCUCAACUCCAGAACUGCCUUUGAUACUGGAGAGCUUGAGUCCGGGAGAGGUGAGUGGAACUCCGAGUGUAGAGGUGAAAUUCGUAGAUAUUCGCAAGAACACCAGUGGCGAAGGCGGCUCACUGGCCCGAUACUGACGCUGAGGUGCGAAAGCGUGGGGAGCAAACAGG